RNAcentral lists this ribosomal RNA (253 nucleotides) under uncultured bacterium. RNAcentral describes it as "partial 16S ribosomal RNA". It matches the Rfam family "Bacterial small subunit ribosomal RNA", at positions 524 to 776 of the family's 1533-position model. The record is from RNAcentral.
UACAGAGGUCUCAAGCGUUGUUCGGAAUUACUGGGCGUAAAGCGCACGUAGGCGGCUUUGUAAGUUAGAGGUGAAAGCCCGGGGCUCAACUCUGGAAUUGCCUUUAAGACUGCAUCGCUAGAAUUGUGGAGAGGUAAGUGGAAUUCCGAGUGUAGAGGUGAAAUUCGUAGAUAUUCGGAAGAACACCAGUGGCGAAGGCGACUUACUGGACACAUAUUGACGCUGAGGUGCGAAAGCGUGGGGAGCAAACAGG